RNAcentral lists this ribosomal RNA (451 nucleotides) under uncultured bacterium. Its description in RNAcentral is "partial 16S ribosomal RNA". It matches the Rfam family "Bacterial small subunit ribosomal RNA", at positions 29 to 523 of the family's 1533-position model. The record is from RNAcentral.
AGCGAACGCUGGCGGCAGGCUUAACACAUGCAAGUCGAGCGGGCAUAGCAAUAUGUCAGCGGCAGACGGGUGAGUAACGCGUGGGAACGUACCUUUUGGUUCGGAACAACACAGGGAAACUUGUGCUAAUACCGGAUAAGCCCUUACGGGGAAAGAUUUAUCGCCGAAAGAUCGGCCCGCGUCUGAUUAGCUAGUUGGUGAGGUAAUGGCUCACCAAGGCGACGAUCAGUAGCUGGUCUGAGAGGAUGAUCAGCCACAUUGGGACUGAGACACGGCCCAAACUCCUACGGGAGGCAGCAGUGGGGAAUAUUGGACAAUGGGCGCAAGCCUGAUCCAGCCAUGCCGCGUGAGUGAUGAAGGCCCUAGGGUUGUAAAGCUCUUUUGUGCGGGAAGAUAAUGACGGUACCGCAAGAAUAAGCCCCGGCUAACUUCGUGCCAGCAGCCGCAGUAA